CUCUCCUCUUUUUUUUCCUUUUUUCCUCUUCUUAUUUAUUUCUCCUCUUCUUCAUCGUUUUCUUUUCCUUCUUCCUAAACUAAACAUAAACUAAAAUAAUCCUAAAACUAAACGAAACUUCUCCUCCUCCCUUUUUAUUUCUUCUUCUUCUUUUUUUCAUAGAAUUUUUAUUUCUUCUUCUUCUUUUUUCAUCCUAAAACUUUAGGAACAAAAUUACAACAGAAAAAACAAUAAAAAUUCUAUGAACAAAAUAAAAAUUCUAUGAACAAAAUUACAACAGAAAAAAAUCCUAUGAACAAAAUUACAAUAAAAAAUCCUAUGAACAAAAUUACAAUAAAAAUUCUAUGAACAAAAAAAAAUAAAAA
This 365-nucleotide long non-coding RNA is filed under the name Triticum aestivum (bread wheat). Its description in RNAcentral is "long non-coding RNA (TAES_LNC009095)". Lineage: Eukaryota; Viridiplantae; Streptophyta; Magnoliopsida; Poales; Poaceae. The record is from RNAcentral.